UGCAGUCGAGGGGUAGAAGGAGCUUGCUCCUUUGAGACCGGCGCACGGGUGCGUAACGCGUAUGCAACCUACCUUGAACAGGGGAAUAGCCCAGAGAAAUUUGGAUUAAUGCCCCAUGGUAUUUUGAGAUGGCAUCAUCUUAUUAUUAAAGAUUUAUCGGUUCAAGAUGGGCAUGCGUCCCAUUAGUUAGUUGGUAAGGUAACGGCUUACCAAGACGAUGAUGGGUAGGGGUCCUGAGAGGGAGAUCCCCCACACUGGUACUGAGACACGGACCAGACUCCUACGGGAGGCAGCAGUGAGGAAUAUUGGUCAAUGGGCGCAAGCCUGAACCAGCCAUGCCGCGUGCAGGAUUAAGGCCCUAUGGGUUGUACACUGCUUUUAUACGGGAAGAAACCACGAUUCGUGA
RNAcentral lists this ribosomal RNA (406 nucleotides) under uncultured bacterium. RNAcentral's name for it is "bacterial SSU rRNA". It matches the Rfam family "Bacterial small subunit ribosomal RNA", at positions 56 to 463 of the family's 1533-position model. The record is from RNAcentral.